GACGAACGCUGGCGGCGUGCUUAACACAUGCAAGUCGAACGGAAAGGCCCUGCUUUUGUGGGUUGCUCGAGUGGCGAACGGGUGAGUAACACGUGAGUAACCUGCCCUUGACUUUGGGAUAACUUCAGGGAACUGGGGCUAAUACCGGAUAGGAGCUCCUGCUGCAUGGUGGGGGUUGGAAAGUUUCGGCGGUUGGGGCUGGACUCGCGGCUUAUCAGCCUGUUGGUGGGGUAGUGGCUUACCAAGGCUUUGACGGGUAGCCGGCCUGAGCGGGUGACCGGCCACAUUGGGACUGAGAGACGGCCCAGACGCCUACGGUAGGCAGCAGUGGGGAAUAUUGCACAAUGGGCGGAAGCCUGAUGCAGCAACGCCGCGUGCGGGAUGACGGCCUUCGGGUUGUAAACCGCUUUCGCCUGUGACGAAGCGUGAGUGACGGUAAUGGGUAAAGAAGCACCGGCUAACUACGUG
Molecule: ribosomal RNA, 468 nt
Filed under: uncultured bacterium
Lineage: Bacteria
Description: partial 16S ribosomal RNA
Rfam family: Bacterial small subunit ribosomal RNA
Source: RNAcentral